GCCCACUGUGGCUUAGCUGGAUAGAGCGUCUGCCAUGUAAGCAGGAGAUCCUGGGUUCGAGUCCCGGUAGGGGCA
RNAcentral lists this transfer RNA (75 nucleotides) under Schistocerca americana (American grasshopper). Its description in RNAcentral is "tRNA-Thr". It matches the Rfam family "tRNA". Rfam says of the family: Transfer RNA (tRNA) molecules are approximately 80 nucleotides in length. Lineage: Eukaryota; Metazoa; Arthropoda; Insecta; Orthoptera; Acrididae. The record is from RNAcentral.